UGCGAAGCCGCGAGGCAGAGCGAACCCCAAAAAAGCCGUCCCAGUUCGGAUCGCAGGCUGCAACCCGCCUGCGUGAAGUCGGAAUCGCUAGUAAUCGCGGAUCAGCAUGCCGCGGUGAAUACGUUCCCGGGCCUUGUACACACCGCCCGUCACACCAUGAGAGUCGGGAACACCCGAAGUCCGUAGCCUAACAGCAAUGAGGGCGCGGCCGAAGGUGGGUUCGAUAAUUGGGGUGAAGUCGUAACAAGGUAUC
This 253-nucleotide ribosomal RNA is filed under the name uncultured bacterium. Its description in RNAcentral is "partial 16S ribosomal RNA". It matches the Rfam family "Bacterial small subunit ribosomal RNA", at positions 1248 to 1500 of the family's 1533-position model. The record is from RNAcentral.